This 425-nucleotide ribosomal RNA is filed under the name uncultured bacterium. RNAcentral's name for it is "bacterial SSU rRNA". It matches the Rfam family "Bacterial small subunit ribosomal RNA", at positions 359 to 776 of the family's 1533-position model. The record is from RNAcentral.
GAAUAUUGGACAAUGGGGGCAACCCUGAUCCAGCCAUGCCGCGUGUGUGAAGAAGGCCUUUUGGUUGUAAACUGCUUUUGUACGGAACGAAAAGCUUUGGGUUAAUACCCUGGAGUCAUGACGUUACCGUAAGAAUAAGCCCCGCCUAACUACGUGCCAGCAGCCGCGGUAAUACGUAGGGUGCAAGCGUUAAGCGGAAUUACUGGGCGUAAAGCGUGCGCAGGCGGUUUUGUAAGACAGAGGUGAAAUCCCCGGGCUCAACCUGGGAACUGCCUUUGUGACUGCAAGGCUAGAGUACGGCAGAGGGGGGUGGAAUUCCGCGUGUAGCAGUGAAAUGCGUAGAUAUGCGGAGGAACACCGAUGGCGAAGGCAACCCCCUGGGCCUGUACUGACGCUCAUGCACGAAAGCGUGGGGAGCAAACAGG